Molecule: ribosomal RNA, 918 nt
Filed under: uncultured bacterium
Lineage: Bacteria
Description: bacterial SSU rRNA
Rfam family: Bacterial small subunit ribosomal RNA
Source: RNAcentral
AGAGUUUGAUCCUGGCUCAGGACGAACGCUGGCGGCGUGCCUAACACAUGCAAGUCGAACGGAGUUAUUUGUUUAGAUCCCUUCGGGGUGACGAACUUUUAACUUAGUGGCGGACGGGUGAGUAACGCGUGAGUAACCUGCCUCUGAGAGGGGAAUAACGUUCUGAAAAGAUCGCUAAUACCGCAUAACAUAUUGAAGUCGCAUGACUUUGAUAUCAAAGAUUUUAUCGCUCGGAGAUGGACUCGCGUCCGAUUAGCUAGUUGGCGGGGUAACGGCCCACCAAGGCGACGAUCGGUAGCCGGACUGAGAGGUUGAUCGGCCACAUUGGGACUGAGACACGGCCCAGACUCCUACGGGAGGCAGCAGUGGGGGAUAUUGCGCAAUGGGGGCAACCCUGACGCAGCAACGCCGCGUGAAGGAAGACGGUUUUCGGAUUGUAAACUUCUUUUGUCAGGGACGAAAUCUGACGGUACCUGACGAAUAAGCUCCGGCUAACUACGUGCCAGCAGCCGCGGUAAUACGUAGGGAGCAAGCGUUGUCCGGAUUUACUGGGUGUAAAGGGUGCGUAGGCGGCUUUGUAAGUCAGAUGUGAAAUCUAUGGGCUCAACCCAUAAACUGCAUUUGAAACUAUAGAGCUUGAGUGAAGUAGAGGCAGGCGGAAUUCCCUGUGUAGCGGUGAAAUGCGUAGAGAUAGGGAGGAACACCAGUGGCGAAGGCGGCCUGCUGGGCUUUAACUGACGCUGAGACACGAAAGCGUGGGUAGCAAACAGGAUUAGAUACCCUGGUAGUCCACGCUGUAAACGAUGAUUACUAGGUGUGGGGGGACUGACCCCUUCCGUGCCGGAGUUAACACAAUAAGUAAUCCACCUGGGGAGUACGGCCGCAAGGUUGAAACUCAAGGAAUUGACGGGGGCCCGC